CAGCCGCCGCGGUAACACAGAGGGUGCGAGCGUUAAUCGGAUUUACUGGGCGUAAAGCGUGCGUAGGCGGCUUCUUAAGUCGGAUGUGAAAUCCCUGAGCUUAACUUAGGAAUUGCAUUCGAUACUGGGAAGCUAGAGUAUGGGAGAGGAUGGUAGAAUUCCAGGUAUAGCGGUGAAAUGCGUAGAGAUCUGGAGGAAUACCGAUGGCGAAGGCAGCCAUCUGGCCUAAUACUGACGCUGAGGUACGAAAGCAUGGGGAGCAAACAGGAUUAGAUACCCGUGUAGUCCCUGUCUCUUAUAC
This 301-nucleotide ribosomal RNA is filed under the name uncultured bacterium. Its description in RNAcentral is "partial 16S ribosomal RNA". It matches the Rfam family "Bacterial small subunit ribosomal RNA", at positions 509 to 807 of the family's 1533-position model. The record is from RNAcentral.